RNAcentral lists this long non-coding RNA (918 nucleotides) under Equus caballus (horse). RNAcentral's name for it is "lncRNA (ENSECAG00000047586.1)". Lineage: Eukaryota; Metazoa; Chordata; Mammalia; Perissodactyla; Equidae. The record is from RNAcentral.
CGGAGAUCUUCUGCAGGCCAGGCCUUGGGCAGAAGUGUUUUUAGGAUGGAUCCUGUGUACGGUGUGCCAUGUUGAAACUAGAGAAUGAGACCUGGAUACCACCGUGCCAUCUUUGAACCAAUGGCAGAGUCUCGCCCAUCUCUUGGCCUCUUGAAUUACUCUGGUGACCUAGUUAUUCAGUCCUGGGUGGACCUGCAGGUGGCCCUCAAGGAGGGUUUCCUCUGAGUGAACACUUUUCUAGAAGGAGACCAGGGUGCUUCUUUCUUUUCUUCUAGCAAGAUGUGUGACGUGAGAGAUGGGAAAGUUGGGGCAUUUAGAAUUGAAGUGGUGAGAACAGCCCAGGGUGGGAUCAGGAGUGCCUUGCCCUCCACCUAGUGUGACUGCCAUCUUCUAGAAGCUCCAGGUCCUUUUCUUAAUGGGAAGCUGCACUGCUGUUCCUUAGAUGUGACAAGAGGGGAAGUGGGGCCAGGUGGCACUGGGAGCAGUUCUUAGCCGAUUCCUGGAUUCCGAGCUCUGGAGGACGCUACUUGGGGCACCUGAUGAUAAUGUAUAAAGGAGAUACUCAGACACGGUGGGUUUUGCUUCCCAGUUGGGAGCAGCCAUGAGCCAAUGGCAGAGUGCAGGCUGGGCGCAUCAGGACCCAGCCCACCAUAGCAGCUGCCCCGAGGCAGGCAGUGGAGACUCCAGAGGACAAAAGCCAUUCCCACUCUGGCCUUGUGGAGCAUGAAGAGUCCAUAAGUAGAUGACAUAGCCUAGACGGCUGCCUUCCUUGAAAUUUCUGUCCUGGGCUCCAGGUGAAGAUGGAAUGGAGGAGGGGGUAUCCCUGGCUACUCCCAGGGCAGAAGGAAAUUUGGAGCAGCUUAGGUGCCAGAUCUGCAAGUGAUGGAGCCUCCAGAAGAUUUCCAGCACCCAACUGGU